AGAAGUGCAGUUUUCAUUACAUUAGCAACUACUUCCACCCCUGUGGCUAUAUAAGCAGUGGAAUUUAAUAAGGGUUGUAAAAMAACCACAACGCACACAGCCAGACACGAGUUUUCCAAGCUGGCUGGUGAAAAUGCAGAAUCGUGGAAUCACUCUGUGGAUGCUGUUGCUUCUCCAUGUCCCUGGACUAGACUCUGCAACAUGGAAUCUAUUCAYUAAGUCCUCGACAAAGCCCACACAGGAGGGCGAGGUGAGGCUGGUGGGGGGUYAGCAUGACUCAGAGGGUCGAGUGGAGGUGUACCACGAGGGGAAAUGGGGGACCGUCUGUG
Long non-coding RNA from Salvelinus sp. IW2-2015, 329 nucleotides. RefSeq lists it as uncharacterized. NCBI's taxonomy places the organism in Eukaryota, Metazoa, Chordata, Actinopteri, Salmoniformes, Salmonidae. The record is from RefSeq and is a predicted model, not a curated record.